RNAcentral lists this transfer RNA (76 nucleotides) under Candidatus Parcubacteria bacterium. RNAcentral's name for it is "tRNA-Lys". It matches the Rfam family "tRNA". Rfam says of the family: Transfer RNA (tRNA) molecules are approximately 80 nucleotides in length. Their secondary structure includes four short double-helical elements and three loops (D, anti-codon, and T loops). The record is from RNAcentral. Lineage: Bacteria; Candidatus Parcubacteria.
GCGCCUAUAGCUCAAUUGGCAGAGCAGGGGCCUCUUAAGCCCAAGGUUGCAGGUUCGACUCCUGCUGGGCGCACUA